GGCUGGGUAGCUCAGCUGGUUAGAGCGCGGCACUCAUAAUGCCGAGGUCGGCAGUUCAAGUCUGCCUCCAGCUACCA
This 77-nucleotide transfer RNA is filed under the name Magnetovibrio blakemorei. Its description in RNAcentral is "tRNA-Met". It matches the Rfam family "tRNA". From Rfam's summary of the family: Transfer RNA (tRNA) molecules are approximately 80 nucleotides in length. Their secondary structure includes four short double-helical elements and three loops (D, anti-codon, and T loops). Lineage: Bacteria; Pseudomonadati; Pseudomonadota; Alphaproteobacteria; Rhodospirillales; Magnetovibrionaceae. RNAcentral also lists the same sequence under 7 other names. The record is from RNAcentral.